GCGGCCGUGGCUCAAUUGGAUAGAGCAUCAGUCUACGGAACUGAGGGUUGGAGGUUCGAGUCCUCUCGGCCGCG
RNAcentral lists this transfer RNA (74 nucleotides) under Candidatus Omnitrophota bacterium. Its description in RNAcentral is "Candidatus Omnitrophica bacterium tRNA-Arg". It matches the Rfam family "tRNA". From Rfam's summary of the family: Transfer RNA (tRNA) molecules are approximately 80 nucleotides in length. Their secondary structure includes four short double-helical elements and three loops (D, anti-codon, and T loops). The record is from RNAcentral. Lineage: Bacteria; Pseudomonadati; Candidatus Omnitrophota.